UACGGGGGGAGCAAGCGUUGUUCGGAUUUACUGGGCGUAAAGGGCGCGUAGGCGGUCAGCACAAGUCAGUUGUGAAAUCUCCGGGCUUAACUCGGAAAGGUCAACUGAUACUGUGCGACUAGAGUGCAGAAGGGGCAACUGGAAUUCUCGGUGUAGCAGUGAAAUGCGUAGAUAUCGAGAGGAACACCAGUGGCGAAGGCGAGUCUCUAGACAACUCCUGACACUGAGGCACGAAAGCUAGGGGAGCAAACAGG
This 254-nucleotide ribosomal RNA is filed under the name uncultured bacterium. RNAcentral's name for it is "partial 16S ribosomal RNA". It matches the Rfam family "Bacterial small subunit ribosomal RNA", at positions 524 to 776 of the family's 1533-position model. The record is from RNAcentral.